GGGGGACUACCAUCGACCGCCCACCAAACAAAAAUGGUUUCCCUAUUUCACAGUACCACUGUAUGUACUCUAACGAGGGCUGCAGAUCUAAAGCACGAUCCAACUGAGGUACCCUCCCCAACCGAUUGUUCCACAUCGUAAUAUAUUCUUCAUGCACUUCUCCCCAAUCAUUUCCAUGCUUCCCUCUCCUGUUAAUCCCAUAGAUCUCCCCCAAUCGUACUGGUAGUGUAGGGAUAUACUGUAUGCAACCAAACUGCCGGAGUACAAUAUAAUCCGAAAAAAGUCAACUAAUUGUUAUAACGAGUAAAAAUUCAUCACCUAUUAACGAGUAAAAAAGUCAACUAAGUCGUAUCGCAGAUCAAAAGUCCAGAUUAAUGCUGCUGAUCCG
Molecule: long non-coding RNA, 388 nt
Filed under: Gossypium raimondii (Peruvian cotton)
Lineage: Eukaryota; Viridiplantae; Streptophyta; Magnoliopsida; Malvales; Malvaceae
Description: long non-coding RNA (GRAI_LNC010128)
Source: RNAcentral